UCCAAGGAAGGCAGCAGGCGCGCAAAUUACCCAAUCCCGACACGGGGAGGUAGUGACAAUAAAUACUGAUAUUGGGUUCUUUUGGAUCUAAUAAUUGGAAUGAGUACAAUUUAAAUCCCUUAACGAGGAACAAUUGGAGGGCAAGUCUGGUGCCAGCAGCCGCGGUAAUUCCAGCUCCAAUAGCGUAUAUUAAAGUUGUUGCAGUUAAAAAGCUCGUAGUUGAACCUUGGGCCUGGCUGGUCGGUCCGCCUCACCGCGUGCACUGAUCCGGCCGGGCCUUUCCUUCUGAGGAGCCGCAUGCCCUUCACUGGGUGUGUCGGGGAAUCAGGACUUUUACUUUGAAAAAAUUAGAGUGUUCAAAGCAGGCCUAUGCUCGAAUACAUUAGCAUGGAAUAAUAGAAUAGGACGUGUGGUUCUAUUUUGUUGGUUUCUAGGACCGCCGUAAUGAUUAAUAGGGAUAGUCGGGGGCAUCAGUAUUCAAUUGUCAGAGGUGAAAUUCUUGGAUUUAUUGAAGACUAACUACUGCGAAAGCAUUUGCCAAGGAUGUUUUCAUUAAUCAGUGAACGAAAGUUAGGGGAUCGAAGACGAUCAGAUACCGUCGUAGUCUUAACCAUAAACUAUGCCGACUAGGGAUCGGGCGAUGUUAUUUUUUGACUCGCUCGGCACCUUACGAGAAAUCAAAGUCUUUGGGUCUGGGGGGAGUAUGGUCGCAAGGCUGAAA
Molecule: ribosomal RNA, 721 nt
Filed under: uncultured Ascomycota
Lineage: Eukaryota; Fungi; Ascomycota
Description: SSU rRNA
Rfam family: Eukaryotic small subunit ribosomal RNA
Source: RNAcentral